Molecule: small RNA, 148 nt
Filed under: Pongo abelii (Sumatran orangutan)
Lineage: Eukaryota; Metazoa; Chordata; Mammalia; Primates; Hominidae
Description: Metazoan signal recognition particle RNA (ENSPPYG00000034377.1)
Source: Rfam by way of RNAcentral
GCUGGGCGUGGUGGUGCGCACCUGUAAUCCCAGCUACUUGGGAGGCUGAGACAGGAGAAUUGCUUGAACCCGGGAAGCAGAGGCUGCAGUGAGCUGAGAUCACGCCACUGCACUCCAGCCUGGGCAACAGAGCAGGAUUCCGUCUCAA